This 533-nucleotide small RNA is filed under the name Pan troglodytes (chimpanzee). RNAcentral describes it as "processed transcript". Lineage: Eukaryota; Metazoa; Chordata; Mammalia; Primates; Hominidae. The record is from RNAcentral.
GGUCAAAAGCGGCUGGUGCUUUCCGAAAGCUGCUCCCGGGACUCCAUGAGCAGUCAGCCUAGUUGUACCGGGCUCAACUAUUCAUAUGGUGUCAAUGCUUGGAAGUGCUGGGUGCAGUCAAAAUAUGCCAAUGGAGAAACCAGCAAGGGUGAUGAGCUGCGCUUUGGCCCCAAACCCAUGCGUAUCAAAGAGGAUAUUCUCGCCUGCUCAGCUGCUGAGCUCAACUACGGUCUGGCCCAGUUUGUGAGAGAAAUCACUCGGCCCAAUGGUGAACGAUAUGAACCUGACAGUAUCUACUAUUUGUGUCUUGGCAUCCAGCAGGUACCUCUUGUGCACCACCUCACUUCCUGUCACUCUUAACACAGCAGGCAGGGUCUAAACAGAAAUGAUUCUGGGUUAGGCACGGUGGCUCACGCCUGUAAUCCCAACACUUUGGGAGGUUGAGGCAGGAGGAUCGCUUCAAGCCAGGAGUUUGAGACCAGCCUGGGCAACAAAGUGAUACCCAUCUACCCAAAAAAUAUUUUUUUAAUGAA